This 572-nucleotide ribosomal RNA is filed under the name uncultured bacterium. RNAcentral's name for it is "partial 16S ribosomal RNA". It matches the Rfam family "Bacterial small subunit ribosomal RNA", at positions 355 to 922 of the family's 1533-position model. The record is from RNAcentral.
UGGGGAAUUUUGGACAAUGGGCGAAAGCCUGAUCCAGCAAUGCCGCGUGUGUGAAGAAGGCCUUCGGGUUGUAAAGCACUUUUGUCCGGAAAGAAAUCCUUGGCUCUAAUACAGUCGGGGGAUGACGGUACCGGAAGAAUAAGCACCGGCUAACUACGUGCCAGCAGCCGCGGUAAUACGUAGGGUGCAAGCGUUAAUCGGAAUUACUGGGCGUAAAGCGUGCGCAGGCGGUUUGCUAAGACCGAUGUGAAAUCCCCGGGCUCAACCUGGGAACUGCAUUGGUGACUGGCAGGCUAGAGUAUGGCAGAGGGGGGUAAAAUUCCACGUGUAGCAGUGAAAUGCGUAGAGAUGUGGAGGAAUACCGAUGGCGAAGGCAGCCCCCUGGGCCAAUACUGACGCUCAUGCACGAAAGCGUGGGGAGCAAACAGGAUUAGAUACCCUGGUAGUCCACGCCCUAAACGAUGUCAACUAGUUGUGGGGAUUCAUUCCUUAGUAACGUAGCUAACGCGUGAAGUUGACCGCCUGGGGAGUACGGUCGCAAGAUUAAAACUCAAAUGAAUUGACGGGGUCAU